RNAcentral lists this long non-coding RNA (274 nucleotides) under Cricetulus griseus (Chinese hamster). RNAcentral's name for it is "lncRNA (ENSCGRG00000024220.1)". The record is from RNAcentral. Lineage: Eukaryota; Metazoa; Chordata; Mammalia; Rodentia; Cricetidae.
GCGCUCAGGGGACAGCCCCAGCCUCCGGUCCCCUCGCGACCUUCCCAGCCCGCCGUCACUCCAUCCCCUGCGUCCUUCGCUCCCCGCCUCUCCUCCAGCGAGUGUCUCCAGCGCGGUCCCUCACUUAGCCGCUGACUUUCCUCCCUCGCCCGGCACUCGGCACUCCUUUCCUCCCGUCCCGAGUCGCGCCACGCUAUUCCCAUCCGUCCCCCGCAGGGUGAGGGCUUCUGACAUUGGAGAAGGACCCUCCGGAAUGUUUGCGGGCCGGCAGUGA